Molecule: small RNA, 106 nt
Filed under: Xanthomonas sp. 3058
Lineage: Bacteria; Pseudomonadati; Pseudomonadota; Gammaproteobacteria; Lysobacterales; Lysobacteraceae
Also listed under: 1 other name
Description: sRNA sX2
Rfam family: Xanthomonas sRNA sX2
Source: RNAcentral
ACCAGCUGUGCAGCCCUAGAGCAUCUAGGCAGCUUAAAGGGUGCAGGCAUCCGCAGUUGGACCACUUUCUGACGACAGACACCCUGCGUGCAUGGAUGUCUGUCAU